UUCCUUUAAUUGAUUUGGUGAUGAUGAUC
Molecule: non-coding RNA, 29 nt
Filed under: Mus musculus (house mouse)
Lineage: Eukaryota; Metazoa; Chordata; Mammalia; Rodentia; Muridae
Source: RNAcentral